This 912-nucleotide ribosomal RNA is filed under the name uncultured bacterium. RNAcentral describes it as "bacterial SSU rRNA". It matches the Rfam family "Bacterial small subunit ribosomal RNA", at positions 8 to 916 of the family's 1533-position model. The record is from RNAcentral.
AGAGUUUGAUCCUGGCUCAGAUUGAACGCUGGCGGCAUGCUUUACACAUGCAAGUCGAACGGUAACAGGGAGCUUGCUCCGCUGACGAGUGGCGAACGGGUGAGUAAUAUAUCGGAACGUACCCAAGAGUGGGGGAUAACGUAGCGAAAGUUACGCUAAUACCGCAUACGAUCUAAGGAUGAAAGCAGGGGACCGCAAGGCCUUGUGCUCCUGGAGCGGCCGAUAUCUGAUUAGCUAGUUGGUGAGGUAAAGGCUCACCAAGGCAACGAUCAGUAGCUGGUCUGAGAGGACGACCAGCCACACUGGAACUGAGACACGGUCCAGACUCCUACGGGAGGCAGCAGUGGGGAAUUUUGGACAAUGGGGGCAACCCUGAUCCAGCAAUGCCGCGUGAGUGAAGAAGGCCUUCGGGUUGUAAAGCUCUUUUGUCAGGGAAGAAACGGGUGGGGCUAAUAUCCCCAUCUAAUGACGGUACCUGAAGAAUAAGCACCGGCUAACUACGUGCCAGCAGCCGCGGUAAUACGUAGGGUGCAAGCGUUAAUCGGAAUUACUGGGCGUAAAGCGUGCGCAGGCGGUUUUGUAAGUCUGUCGUGAAAUCCCCGGGCUUAACCUGGGAAUGGCGAUGGAGACUGCAAGGCUAGAGUUUGGCAGAGGGGGGUAGAAUUCCACGUGUAGCAGUGAAAUGUGUAGAGAUGUGGAGGAACACCGAUGGCGAAGGCAGCCCCCUGGGUCAAGACUGACGCUCAUGCACGAAAGCGUGGGGAGCAAACAGGAUUAGAUACCCUGGUAGUCCACGCCCUAAACGAUGUCUACUAGUUGUCGGGUCUUAAUUGACUUGGUAACGCAGCUAACGCGUGAAGUAGACCGCCUGGGGAGUACGGUCGCAAGAUUAAAACUCAAAGGAAUUGACGG